Molecule: long non-coding RNA, 666 nt
Organism: Peromyscus californicus insignis
Lineage: Eukaryota; Metazoa; Chordata; Mammalia; Rodentia; Cricetidae
Exons: 3
Source: RefSeq, a predicted model, not a curated record
CAGUGAGGUAGAGUCUAGGCAAGAAUUAUGCAUGUUGGCAUUUUCCCAUAACUCUUCCUCUCACACAAAUAAAACAGAAAAGGUUUGUGUCUAUGUUACCUGGACAAAGGUUCAUCAAAUGCAGAUAACAUAUAUGCAGUGAACAUUAAGCAUCUUAUGUUGACACAGCUCAGCUUUUCUAGUAUAUAUGUGUAAAAGAGAAAGCACGUAGUGGUAGAAAACAAUGCACAUAACAAAUAUGUUAAAGAUUUGACUUUGAUUCAAUCUCCCAAGAAAUCUGGUUAUAUUAUUAUGAAUACUAAAUACCAUAGCUACUGUAAUUUCAUCUUUUCUUUUUUCAUGAUGGUAUUUACCGAAGGAACGAAGCCAAUGUGUCCUGAAAGGAGCAGAUUUAUCACCAACCAGAGGAGGCAUUCCUCAGGAAAAAAACAGAGCUGCAAUGCUCAGUUUUUGCACGCAGAGAUGCUUCCUGAGAAGGUGGUCUUCCACACAUAAAGGCAAGUAUGCAUUAGCAAUAAAUGUGCAAUGCUUUUUCCACUGUUACCAUUUUAAAUAACCAGUAUUUGGAGACUGUUACCUUAGCAUGGCCUAGACUAAUCAUUGUACAGACAUACAUACUACAUUUGGCAUAAACUUUAAAAAUGUAAAAUCUGGACAAUGGACUAA